RNAcentral lists this ribosomal RNA (1287 nucleotides) under uncultured fungus. Its description in RNAcentral is "eukaryotic LSU rRNA". The stretch from base 623 to 1287 matches the Rfam family "Eukaryotic large subunit ribosomal RNA", at positions 1 to 648 of the family's 3401-position model. Lineage: Eukaryota; Fungi. The record is from RNAcentral.
AAGUCGUAACAAGGUUUCCGUAGGUGAACCUGCGGAAGGAUCACUAUCGAAAUAAACCUGAGCAGGCUGUUUUGCUGGUCCUCUCAAGGGACAUUGUGCACGCUUGUCGUCUUUAUUUUUCCAACCGUGCACAUAUUGUAGACCUGGAGUUUUUUCUUAUCGUUCGAAUAGAUUGAGGACUGCCGUCUCGUCUCGGCUUUGCCUUGUAUUUUCCAGGUCUAUGUUGCAAACACAUUUUCACAACGUGUCUCAGAAUGUUGAGUACUGGGGAUAACAAAUAUACAACUUUCAGCAACGGAUCUCUUGGCUCUCGCAUCGAUGAAGAACGCAGCGAAAUGCGAUAAGUGAUGUGAAUUGCAGAAUUCAGUGAAUCAUUGAAUCUUUGAACGCAUCUUGCGCUCCUUGGUAUUCCGAGGAGCAUGCCUGUUUGAGUGUCAUCAAAAGUUCUCAACCACACCGGUUCCUCUGGCGUGGCUUGGAUUUGGGGGUUUGCAGGCUUCAAGUCGGCUCUCCUGAAAAAGAUUAGCGGUAUCCGAGCAGAAACCAAACCUCUGGCGUGAUAAUUAUCUAUGCCUUGGUGUAUAAUCUGUGUGGGCUGCUCAUAACCUAGCGUUGACAGAUUUGACCUCAAAUCAGGUAGGACUACCCGCUGAACUUAAGCAUAUCAAUAAGCGGAGGAAAAGAAACUAACAAGGAUUCCCCUAGUAACUGCGAGUGAAGCGGGAAAAGCUCAAAUUUAAAAUCUGGCGGUUCUUGACCGUCCGAGUUGUAAUCUAGAGAAGUGUUACCUGUGCUGGACCAUGUACAAGUCUCCUGGAAUGGAGCAUCAUAGAGGGUGAGAAUCCCGUCUUUGACAUGGACUGCCUGCACGUUGUGGUGCGCUCUCGAAGAGUCGAGUUGUUUGGGAAUGCAGCUCAAAAUGGGUGGUAAAUGCCAUCUAAAGCUAAAUAUUGGCGAGAGACCGAUAGCGAACAAGUACCGUGAGGGAAAGAUGAAAAGAACUUUGGAAAGAGAGUUAAACAGUACGUGAAAUUGCUGAAAGGGAAACGCUUGAAGUCAGUCGCGUUGGCUAGAAAUCAGCCUUGCUUUUGCUUGGUGUACUUUCUUGUCGACGGGUCAGCAUCAGUUUUGAUCACUGGAUAAGGAUUUUGGGAAUGUGGCAUCUUUGGAUGUGUUAUAGCCCAUUGUCGCAUACGGUGGUCAGGAUUGAGGAACUCAGCACGCCGCAAGGCCGGAUCUUCUGAUCACGUUCGUGCUUAGGAUGCUGGCAUAAUGGCUUUAAUCGAC